Long non-coding RNA from Dreissena polymorpha, 679 nucleotides. RefSeq lists it as uncharacterized. The transcript is spliced from 6 exons. The record is from RefSeq and is a predicted model, not a curated record. Lineage: Eukaryota; Metazoa; Mollusca; Bivalvia; Myida; Dreissenidae.
UGACCAUAUAUGAAGAAAGCGUAAUCAAAUAACGUGCGAUGGGUUCCGAAUGGAGAAACAAGAAAAAAACAUCGUUGGAAUAAUCUCUCCUUUUGAUUGCACACGAGCUUUCAAACGGUUGAGAUCCGGUGCCCAAGACAGGAGAAAAGUGAACCGUAUUGCUGGGGACUCCAAUGCUCAUCGGAUUAAGGAUAUUCUUCCUGAUGAUAUAGCUGUCAAAUGCCUGCCAAUCUCUGAUGAGAAUAUGUAAUGACAAUGACAUUCGCCAACUCUGUUUUCAAAGGUGCCAAAUUUUCUUGUGAUCGUUUUUCCAUGCAUUGUUGAGAGACUUGCGAAAGAUGGAUGUUCAACAGCUGUAUCUUCAUCUAGGCUCAAAUGACAUUCUUACGAAUGAAGCGGUGUUUUACCGAGAUGUAGCUGACUUGUGCGAUUUGGUGCAUCAGGAGGCGCACAAUCGGUGUCCAGAAUGCAGGGUUGUUUGCUCCAACGAAGACGCUUUGCUGAGCCACUUCUGCAGUCGCCACAUCAAGCAACCAGAGACUGGAAAAGAGAGUAAAAUUAAGCUGAUAGGCUCACCAAUGAGGCUCACCAAUGAUUGCAUCUGCUAAUCAUGAACUCAACGAAGUCAGCUCAAGGAAGUGGAAGGCAUGCUUGGAAAAUAGAAGUUUCCAUUAUGAAG